GACGAACCGUACAAACGUUAUCCGGAUUCACUGGGUUUAAAGGGUGCGUAGGUGGGCAGGUAAGUCCGCGGUGAAAUCCCCGAGCUUAACUUGGGAACUGCCGUUGAUACUAUCUGUCUUGAAUAUCGUGGAGGUAAGCGGAAUAUGUCAUGUAGCGGUGAAAUGCUUAGAGAUGACAUAGAACACCAAUUGCGAAGGCAGCUUGCUACACGAUAAUUGACACUGAGGCACGAAAGCGUGGGGAGCAAACAGG
Molecule: ribosomal RNA, 253 nt
Filed under: uncultured bacterium
Lineage: Bacteria
Description: partial 16S ribosomal RNA
Rfam family: Bacterial small subunit ribosomal RNA
Source: RNAcentral